RNAcentral lists this ribosomal RNA (370 nucleotides) under Schistosoma mansoni. RNAcentral's name for it is "partial 16S ribosomal RNA". The stretch from base 14 to 300 matches the Rfam family "Bacterial large subunit ribosomal RNA", at positions 2072 to 2648 of the family's 2925-position model. Lineage: Eukaryota; Metazoa; Platyhelminthes; Trematoda; Strigeidida; Schistosomatidae. The record is from RNAcentral.
AACCCAUUGUUACAUUAUUAGACGGAAAGACCCCAAGAGCUUUUUUUGUGUUAGAUUUGUUUGGGGUAAAUGUAGAUUAUUCAUUUAUUUUUAGAUCCUUCGUGGAUAAAGGAUAAAGUUACCUUGGGGAUAACUGAGUAAAGGGCAGGGAGAGGUCCUAUUGAUCUGUUUAUUACUACCUCGAUGUUGGCUUGUUGAACCUUUUCGGUGUAGAGGCUGGAAAAGGAAGUCUGUUCGACUUUUAAAUCUUCAUGAGUUGAGUUAAGACCGGUGUAAGCCAGGUUGGUUCUUAUCUAUAAUUGGUUCUAGUUAGUACGAAAGGAUUAUUAGGAUACAGUGUUUCUGUACACAUAGGAAUAGAAAGUAUACA